CGAACCUACGGGGGGCAGCAGUGGGGAAUAUUGCACAAUGGGGGAAACCCUGAUGCAGCGACGCCGCGUGAGUGAAGAAGUAUUUCGGUACGUAAAGCUCUAUCAGCAGGGAAGAAAAUGACGGUACCUGACUAAGAAGCCCCGGCUAACUACGUGCCAGCAGCCGCGGUAAUACGUAGGGGGCAAGCGUUAUCCGGAUUUACUGGGUGUAAAGGGGGCGCAGACGGCAAUGCAAGCCAGGAGUGAAAGCCCGGGGCCCAACCCCGGGACUGCUCUUGGACCUGCAUGGCUGGAGUACAGGAGGG
RNAcentral lists this ribosomal RNA (305 nucleotides) under uncultured bacterium. RNAcentral describes it as "bacterial SSU rRNA". It matches the Rfam family "Bacterial small subunit ribosomal RNA", at positions 332 to 656 of the family's 1533-position model. The record is from RNAcentral.